AAAAAGAACCUGAAACCGUGUACGUACAAGCAGUGGGAGCACAGGUUUACCUGUGUGACUGCGUACCUUUUGUAUAAUGGGUCAGCGACUUAUAUUCUGUAGCAAGGUUAACCGUAUAGGGGAGCCGUAGGGAAACCGAGUCUUAACCGGGCGUUAAGUUGCAGGGUAUAGACCCGAAACCCGGUGAUCUAGCCAUGGGCAGGUUGAAGGUUGGGUAACACUAACUGGAGGACCGAACCGACUAAUGUUGAAAAAUUAGCGGAUGACCUGUGGCU
RNAcentral lists this ribosomal RNA (275 nucleotides) under Salmonella enterica. RNAcentral's name for it is "partial 23S ribosomal RNA". It matches the Rfam family "Bacterial large subunit ribosomal RNA", at positions 541 to 816 of the family's 2925-position model. The record is from RNAcentral. RNAcentral also lists the same sequence under 3 other names. Lineage: Bacteria; Pseudomonadati; Pseudomonadota; Gammaproteobacteria; Enterobacterales; Enterobacteriaceae.